AGUGAACGCUGGCGGUAGGCCUAACACAUGCAAGUCGAACGGCAGCACAGUAAGAGCUUGCUCUUACGGGUGGCGAGUGGCGGACGGGUGAGGAAUACAUCGGAAUCUACUUUUUCGUGGGGGAUAACGUAGGGAAACUUACGCUAAUACCGCAUACGACCUACGGGUGAAAGCAGGGGAUCUUCGGACCUUGCGCGAUUGAAUGAGCCGAUGUCGGAUUAGCUAGUUGGCGGGGUAAAGGCCCACCAAGGCGACGAUCCGUAGCUGGUCUGAGAGGAUGAUCAGCCACACUGGAACUGAGACACGGUCCAGACUCCUACGGGAGGCAACAGUGGGGAAUAUUGGACAAUGGGCGCAAGCCUGAUCCAGCCAUACCGCGUGGGUGAAGAAGGACUUCGGGUUGUAAAGCCCUUUUGUUGGGAAAGAAAAGCAGCAGGUUAAUACCCCGCUGUUCUGACGGUACCCAAAGAAUAAGCACCGGCUAACUUCGUG
This 492-nucleotide ribosomal RNA is filed under the name uncultured bacterium. RNAcentral describes it as "partial 16S ribosomal RNA". It matches the Rfam family "Bacterial small subunit ribosomal RNA", at positions 29 to 507 of the family's 1533-position model. The record is from RNAcentral.